RNAcentral lists this long non-coding RNA (553 nucleotides) under Oryza sativa Indica Group (long-grained rice). RNAcentral's name for it is "lncRNA OsZS97_03G016000". Lineage: Eukaryota; Viridiplantae; Streptophyta; Magnoliopsida; Poales; Poaceae. The record is from RNAcentral.
AUGUUCGCUCUACACACUUACGAACCACCGGAUUUCGGCGGCGGCUGCUGCUGCGACGGAGUGCAGAUUCAUCACCCUGACGAGGCUUCUGCCGUCCUCGCCGUACCUGAUGAGGUGGCCGUACAUCCGCAGCCAGUAGUCGGAGGCCUCAUCGACGGUGCGGUAGGUCCAGAUGUGUGGUCUGAGCCAGAGGCAGUCGACGAGGUCACCUCACGCGCCUCGUCUUCCACGCUGAUAGCAGCUGCCGGGGGGGGGAUCUUCUGCUCCAGCCGCGAGCAAGGCCGACGCAGCCGCAACCGGCACACGACGCCAUCGAAGGUCCGUGACGUGCCUGUCGUCGGACCAAAUACCGGCGACGCCGAGGCCGGGCAAGCACUCGACGAGGUCAGCCUCAGCUCCGUCACCGUUCCCGUCUCAGUGGUAGCAGCCGAAGCAGGUGGAGGGGCUGGAGAUCAUCGAGAUGGCCACCGGCGAGCGGCUGUCCCGCCUGCUUCGUGCGCCGCCGCUCCGGCCGCCGUCGCCCCACUACGCCCGCCUCCCUAGUCCACAUCGU